UGAUCUGAAUGUGCCUACUUGUGUUCUGUUUCAUGGCAGUGGAAUUUCUGUGGAGCCACACGACGGAGAGCAUGUGUGUUGGAUAUAUGUCAGCUCAGGAUGGGAAAGCCAAGACUCACAUUUCAAGACUCCCUCCUGGUGCGGUGGCAGGACAGUCCGUUGCGAUCGAAGGUGGGGUUUGCCGCCUGGAGAGCCCAGUGAACUGACCCUUUGGAUUGAGCAUGAAGCGUCUGAGAAGCAUUUCAGAACCUGGGCUUUUUGGUUUUUAACUGAAGUUGGGUGUUUUAUCUUCUUAUUUUAUAAUUCCUAUUGCAACCUUGUGCACCGCUCAAGACAAAAGUGCUGCCGUAGUUAGUGCUUCGUGACACGCAGGCCUUUAGCGGGUGAGCGGGUUGUUUGUGUGUGUGUGUGUGUGUGUGUGUGUGUGUGUGCGUGCGUGCAGUAUGUGUGCUUGCUUCUCCCUUGAUGACCUAGAAACUCCUCAUUGUGUAACCUAAGACCAGGAAUGAGUAAAUCAUCUUUACAAAAUGUGUGCUUUAACUGUUUACAAGUAAAACCUAAAGUUUCAGGAAACAUUUUAAAUUUCAUAAAGAGGUACCAACUGUCGUUGAUGUAUUGUGUCAGAACUGAAGAGUAAAUCUACUUGUUUAAAUGAUUUGACAGUGGUAGAGCUUCGUUUAAUAACAGUAGUAAGUGAUAGAGUGUUUUUAUUUGUAAACCAGUUUAAGUGGAUCCUGUGAUAACUUAAACUGUUCUCAUCCCUCAUACGGGGCAUUUUUCUUUAACAAAGAAUGGUUUCAGUGAAACAAUCUAGCAAAGAAUUAAGGUCAGAACCUUUUUAAAUAAUAGUCUUAUUGAUAAAGUUUGUACUUCUUUCCUCAAGCUUUUCUAAGCUUAAAUAUUGCAUAGCUUCGCGCUGUAUGUACUAUAUAAUGAAAGAAUAUGUAAAGAGAACAUACGGUAAUGCACAGUCUUUAAUUGUGUAUAAUGGAAUGUUAUUUACAAUGUAACACUGUAAAUAAGAAAGCAAAGUUUAUGGGAAAAUUCAAUAUUAUCUUUGUUUCUUGUUUAAAUAUAUUUUUAAGAUAAAGGCACAAAAAUAAAAGAAGCAUAUUACUGGGUAUAGUGUGUGACUCCUCUUCUCAGACUAAUAAAUUAUCUUUUGAAUCCUA
Long non-coding RNA from Galeopterus variegatus (Sunda flying lemur), 1172 nucleotides. RefSeq lists it as uncharacterized. The transcript has 2 exons. The record is from RefSeq and is a predicted model, not a curated record. NCBI's taxonomy places the organism in Eukaryota, Metazoa, Chordata, Mammalia, Dermoptera, Cynocephalidae.